RNAcentral lists this transfer RNA (70 nucleotides) under Crocodylus niloticus (Nile crocodile). RNAcentral's name for it is "transfer RNA-Glu". Lineage: Eukaryota; Metazoa; Chordata; Crocodylia; Crocodylidae. The record is from RNAcentral.
UUUUUAUAGUUGAAAGUACAACAGGGGUUUUUCGUGCCCCAGGUCUUGGUCUAAAGCCCAAGUGAGAAUA